Ursus maritimus (polar bear) is the source of this 1625-nucleotide long non-coding RNA. Lineage: Eukaryota; Metazoa; Chordata; Mammalia; Carnivora; Ursidae. The record is from Ensembl.
GUUCACAUUCCAGUGCAGAUUCCCCGAUCGGCCUCCCAGAUGGAUAAGGAUGAAGUCACACCGUCCUUUUUGAGGCAGCCCGAGAAUCCAGAUUCUGAUCUGCUUGCGCCGUUCCCUGCUGUGACGCAGCGCUGGUGCGCGUGAGCUUUCUGCAGCCGUGACUCGGGGAAAGCAGCAUGGAGUGGACAUGAGUAAAGAGGGGGGUGCUGGGAAGGGAGGCUGUGCACCUGGAAUCAGACAGGCUCAGAGGCUCCUGUCCAGGGCGUGCAUUGCAGGGCGGGGUGGGGGGAGUGGGCCGCCCUGUGGAGAACCUGCUGGACAGGCCAGGGGCAAGGCAGACAGGUCCCCCACCCCACACACUUGUAUCUUCUUCCACAGCUGUGUGCUGGCCCCAGCCUGUUCCAGAGAUUCGGGUGUGCACAGACCGGCUCCUGCCCUCAAAUGGCUGACAUUCCCUUGAGAGGAGCAGAUAAAAGCCAAGUAAAAACCAAUCCAACAGGAUGGGCUGUGGCCAUGUCAUCAUCUAAGUUUCUGCAUGUUCAUUGUUGGCGUGCGACUGUGACCUUGCUGAGCUGCCUAGUCUGCAGAAGAGCCCUAGGGAUGGGGAAGAGGCCCCCACCCCCAGCUGAGCCGGAGAGUCAGAGGUGGAGAGGGACCAGACGCCAGGCUUGUAUGGUGUCCACUUAUGCCAGCUGCAUCCAGAUCACAGAUGACCUUGGGGAGAGUAUUACUUGGAGAGUAGAAGAGAUGUCUGUGGUGGACUUCUGGGUGGGUGGGGAAGCUGGAGACGAGGCCACCCACCCACAGGGGAGUUCUUGGGGGAAGAGAGACAGCUGGCAUUCCCUCCUCUCUGCCUUCCAGCUCUCAGUUCUCUCGCCACUCUGCCCCAGCUGUUUCUUCAGUUGUCGACUGCAGAUAAUAACCCAGUGGAGGAGGCUGACAACCCCCAGGUUCACCCUUGGGACACUGCCCUUUCCCUGGGCAGGGCAGGCUGGCCUUGGACUCCGUCUUCCUCCUCAGCCCACACCACCUCUGCCCAUAACAGUGAUGAGGGAACAGAGGGCCAGCUGAGGACAAAGCAGAAGCUGACACCACCACCCCCAAGAUGGGAUUAACGUGACUGACCUUCCUCAGGCGCUCCUGGCUGCCCUGAAGCUAAGGAGAGGAAAAACAAGUAGUUCACUUACAGAGACCACAAUCCUGCAAGACAGGAGUCUCCCUCAGUUUACAAACGUCUUAGCAAUCUACAAGACAAAGCAUUUCCAUCAAUAACCUAGCUUCCAGAAGGAAAUGUAAGAUAAAAUUAUUAAAUGUCCUUAUAACCUGCAGCCCAUUGACAGACACUCGAAGCAGGCAGAGCAAGCAGAGUAAAGCUCCUGCAGGAAGUUCCCGGCUACCUUCAUGCUAAUGCCUUGCCGGAGGGAAAAACCACCUUAACUUGACAGUGGCAAGGCCUGGGGAUCCCGUGAGUCUCUUUAACAUAUGAAAGUACUUUCUCAUCCUCCCUUUCCCUUACCUGCCCCAACCCCAUAGUAUAUAGUCAGCCACCCCUUACAACCCGGGCAGCAGCUCUUUCUGCCCACGGGUCCUGUCCCUGUGCUUUAAUAAACCACCAUUUUGCACCA